Molecule: ribosomal RNA, 385 nt
Filed under: Orthosoma brunneum
Lineage: Eukaryota; Metazoa; Arthropoda; Insecta; Coleoptera; Cerambycidae
Description: partial 12S ribosomal RNA
Source: RNAcentral
CUAGGAUUAGAUACCCUAUUAUUAUUGAUGUGAAUCGAGUUCUUGGUUAAUAUUAGUUAUGUUCUUAAAAACUAAAAAUUUUGGCGGUAUUUUAGUCCAUUCAGAGGAACCUGUCCUGUAAUCGAUGAUCCACGAUUUUACUUACUUUUUCUUUUAGUUUAUAUAUCGUCGUAGUUUGAAUAUCUUAUAAGGGUUUAAAUAUUCAAUAGUUUACUAGAAAGUAAAUCAGAUCAAGGUGUAGCUUAUGGGGGAGUAGAGAUGGGUUACAAUAAAUUUAUUUGAGAAUCGGUUUUUUAAAUUAACAGUGAAUUUGGAUUUGAGGGUAAUUUUAGUUAAAUAACUAAUAUGAUUUAGGCUCUAGAAUAUGUACAUAUCGCCCGUCGCU